CCCGCUGAUGUGCUUAUUUCCGCUGACAGGAGCGGGGGACCCACCUUUGACGCGCGAGCGUCAUGGGGUGAAGCCACCACCGGUGGCCGGGCGCACACCUUUCCGCCCGAACCCGACAGCUAACUUCGUAGGCGUUCGAGAGGUCAACU
This 149-nucleotide small RNA is filed under the name Arsenicicoccus sp. Its description in RNAcentral is "c-di-AMP sequence". It matches the Rfam family "c-di-AMP riboswitch aptamer (ydaO/yuaA leader)". Rfam says of the family: This family represents a conserved RNA structure found upstream of the ydaO and yuaA genes in Bacillus subtilis and related genes in other bacteria. The record is from RNAcentral. Lineage: Bacteria; Bacillati; Actinomycetota; Actinomycetes; Micrococcales; Intrasporangiaceae.